This 461-nucleotide ribosomal RNA is filed under the name uncultured Methanocalculus sp. RNAcentral describes it as "bacterial SSU rRNA". It matches the Rfam family "Archaeal small subunit ribosomal RNA", at positions 877 to 1338 of the family's 1478-position model. Lineage: Archaea; Methanobacteriati; Methanobacteriota; Methanomicrobia; Methanomicrobiales; Methanocalculaceae. The record is from RNAcentral.
CACCACAACGGGUGGAGCCUGCGGUUUAAUUGGACUCAACGCCGGGCAGCUCACCGGAUAAGACAGCUGGAUGAUAGCCGGGCUGAAGACUCUGCUUGACUAGCUGAGAGGAGGUGCAUGGCCGUCGUCAGUUCGUACUGUGAAGCAUCCUGUUAAGUCAGGCAACGAGCGAGACCCACGCCAACAGUUGCCAGCAUGGUCUUCGGACUGAUGGGGACACUGUUGGGACCGCCUCUGCUAAAGGGAGGAAGGAAUGGGCAGCGGUAGGUCAGCAUGCCCCGAAUUAUCCGGGCUACACGCGGGCUACAAUGGAUGGGACAAUGGGCUUCGACACCGAAAGGUGAAGGUAAUCUCCUAACCCCACCCUUAGUUCGGAUUGCGGGCUGCAACUCGCCCGCAUGAAGCUGGAAUCCGUAGUAAUCGCGUCUCAAGAUGGCGCGGUGAAUAUGUCCCUGCUCCUU